AGCUGUCCAAUGGCUCAUGGAGCCAGAGAGAUGGCACCCCAGCAUGCUGUAGUCUAGCCUCUCCCACUGACCACCUGAGCCUGCUGAAGCUGGCUUAUAUAAGGCUUUGGAAAGAGAAAGGGCUUUGGGUUACUCUCUGGAAAUCAAGAAAAACUGUUCCAAGAUGUGUGUUGGAGAAGACCAGCUUCCGCAGCAAUGAACCCAGAAAAAAAUCUAUAUGUGUAUUUCUAGCACAGGGGCUGGCACAUACUGAGUGCUGAACUGAAUUGAACAGAUGCUAUAAGCAAGGAAGAGUCAAAUUUUGCAAGAUUUUACUGAGGAGGAAGGUGCUACCUCAAAGCCAGGUACUCUGCUCAGCAUGGGGGCUCUAGGAGUGACAUAGACACAGACGUUUCUGCCCCACAAAGCUUAUAACCCAGAUGAAAGGACAGACAUAUGAGUUUUAACUAAUUUGAUUCUUUAUACAAUAAAGAGGAGUACUAAGUACAUAGAGCUUUCAAGGGCCCAGGAAAAUAUUUAAGACAACUACAACAAAUUAUUGACAACACAAAAUUUUU
RNAcentral lists this non-coding RNA (557 nucleotides) under Pongo abelii (Sumatran orangutan). Lineage: Eukaryota; Metazoa; Chordata; Mammalia; Primates; Hominidae. The record is from RNAcentral.